Non-coding RNA from Loxodonta africana (African savanna elephant), 43 nucleotides. The record is from Rfam. Lineage: Eukaryota; Metazoa; Chordata; Mammalia; Proboscidea; Elephantidae.
UCACGGUGGCGGCUGGGGACAGCCCCAUGGUGGUGGCGGCUGG